AGGCAGUUGGUUCCCCGCGCGCAAAAGGAAGUUGCCUCGGCCGCCGCCGCCCCGCCUCCCCCCGCGCUCCGGCCGCCGCCCCGCGCUCCCUCCGCGCCCCGGUCGUCNNNNNNNNNNNNNNNNNNNNNNNNNNNNNNNNNNNNNNNNNNNNNNNNNNNNNNNNNNNNNNNNNNNNNNNNNNNNNNNNNNNNNNNNNNNNNNNNNNNNNNNNNNNNNNNNNNNNNNNNNNNNNNNNNNNNNNNNNNNNNNNNNNNNNNNNNNNNNNNNNNNNNNNNNNNNNNNNNNNNNNNNNNNNNNNNNNNNNNNNNNNNNNNNNNNNNNNNNNNNNNNNNNNNNNNNNNNNNNNNNNNNNNNNNNNNNUCCCGCCCCGGCCACCGCGCCAGCCGCCCCGCCCGCCGCCGCGGCAGCCGCCCCGCCCGCCUCGGCCGCCGUCGCCAUGGCCUCCAUCUCCGCCGCCGCCAAGGCCACCUCCGCCGCCUUCGCCCACAAGGUCCCCUCCCCUUCCCUCUCCCUGCCGCAGAAGGAGCCCGCUGCGGCAGCGCCACAGCAGCAGCAGCGCGCGCGGUCCUGGCUGUAUUCAGAUUUUUGCGGGUUGGCUUUGAGGGUUCUAGUCUUUGCUCCUGUUUUUCAACCCUUAAAAGUGUCAAAAAUGGGCAAUUCUCAACCCUUAAAACUGAUUUUAGAUUUAAGGGUUUGAGGGUUCUACUAGAGAUGCUCUAAGGCCGUGAAGGCCCUCCAAGCAAGCCUACGUUGUUGCAUGUGAAUGCCCGAAAGAAGUGAGAUCAUGUAUGGGAAAAGAACAAGGGUCACAAUAGGACCCAAUACUUUCCUGGGCACAGCUCCAAAGGAAAUUGGCCUGCGGGCAAAGAAAAACAAUGUGCUUGGCGUCUUCAAGAUCUCAACAAAGGCAACGUUGUUCUUGAAAAAGGCAAUGUUGAUGAUGCUUUCUUGCAAGACAUAUUUGAUAGAAUUUUCAUGCUCAGAAGCUAUCACGAACAUGUCUAGGUACUUGACAUAGAGUGAUUUGACUAGCUAGUGUUUCUAUAUCUCCGUUGGCUACGGAGAACCUCAGGCCAAUGUUGAAUUACCACCCCCCCCCCCCCCCCCCCCCCCCCCCCCCCACCCUCUAACCAACCCUCCCCUGCGNNNNNNNCCCCCCCCCCGGCCCCACCACCACUAAGAUUUAGAUACAAUCUUCCUAGGGUAUAUGGUAUUUUUGCUCCAUGGCGUUAGCUUCGCAUGAGAAUCUAGAUCUGACUUUGCCGAGUUGUUCGUGGGUCAAGUCGCCUAACACGAACAAUACCAUAGUGUAGGAAGGAAUAGCUAAUAUGCAGGCAUUAACAAGGUUUUUUUUGCCCCUGGGGAAAGCAAUUUAUGUCGCCAUGGAUCCAUUCUCUUCUCAUUGUUGUGAAUAGUGUUAUCCUAGUUAGAAUUGAAAGAGCUCUAUAUGAGGUAGGAAGAUAGGGGUGUGUAGUGAUAAAAUCAGGAUUUUUGUAACAAAGUAAGUUAGCUAUACGCUCUCCCCCAUCUUGGUCCUUAACCAUGUCCACUGCCUCACUUUUUGCAAAAAAUAGAAUUUCAUCCCUGGCAUUGCCUUGAAGGAUAGUAGAAUAUUUUUUAUCAUGCAUAUGUUCUAGUUAUACAGUUUAGAAAGAAGCAUCACGACGAGUGCAUACCAAAAUGCGAGAUUCUCCUAGGAAUCAAAUGAGAAACCACCCCUUUGAGGUGCCCGGCCGCUUUCGCCUUCUCAAUCAUGGAAUAGAGGGCAUCGACAGCAAUAUCAAUUAGACGGAUUGGAGCGAGGGAUAUGGGAUCGCGUUGCCUUAGACCACACUUGUUUGUGGAGAAAGGGCCCACCCUUCCUCAUUGAUGCAGAUAGCGGUUGAACUAGCAGUUAACUCUAUCGUAAAACCUUCGACAGAACACACGGGGAUGGACCGGACGCAUAGCCUCCGAAGCCUACCUCAAAGAUACGCGGCUCAGCAGGGUCCGUCCCUUAUGAAUUGCCACACCAGACAUAAAAUAUAAAACCAUAGCACCCAAGGCUUCUUAGCCGCCACCACCAAAUCCGGCACGCCCGCCGGCUUCACCGGCGAACCAAACGCCUUCAUCGGAGUCGGGGAAGGGCGGCCCCACCCCGACGACAGCAGGAACACGAGCAACAAGCAGAGGAGUAGAGCGGCCGAUCGCACCCACAUUGUCAACUAUUCCACCGUGUCAGUCUCAGAACCCGAUCGGUCGCGCCCUCGUGCCAAAACCCCACAGAAUCAACUGUCGUUGUAGCACAAGGUAGGUCGCGUUAUGCACUACGCACAGGAGACGACCAGACCACUUCACCACACCUGCGCGCGACCUUGUUCCCCUGUGUGCAUGCUGAAACUAGUCAAUAUGAAUUCACAAGCUCGAUCGCGUCAUGGAUCCCGCGCCUUGCCGGCCAAGAACAACAAGGAUCACCUACUGCAUGCCCACACACCAAGUGUCAAGGCUAUCUUCGCUGAUCGCGCUCCCCAAGGAGGCACCUUCAACUUGAUCCAUGGACCUGUCACGUUCUGCCGUCCUCCUCCUCCUCCUCCUCCUCGCCGUCUGCUUCCCGUGCUCGUCCGCCGAGGAUCAGCUGGCCGUCGGUGAGAAGCUGCUCGCCGAGCAGACCCUGGUGUCCGACGGCGGCGCCUUCACCCUCGGCUUCUUCUCUCCGGACGACGACGACCCAGCCAGACGCUAUCUUGGGAUAUGGUACAGCAACCCCGGGCACCGCACCGUGGUCUGGGUCGCCAACCGGGACGCCCCGGCCGCCGGCGCCCCCACGCUCGCGCUGGCCAACGACUCCAGCCUCGUCAUGUCCGACGCCGACGGCCGCGUGCUCUGGAACACGACCGGCGUCGGCAGCUCGUCCUCGCAGACGGCGCCAGCCGAGCUCGGGAACGACGGCAACCUGCUCAUCCAGCUCCCGGACGGCACGGUUGGGUGGCAGAGCUUCGACCACCCGACGGACACGUUCCUGCCGGGGAUGAAGGUGCGGGUCAGCCACCGGACCGGGAAGGGCGACCGGAUCGUGUCCUGGAGAUCCCCCGAUGACCCGGCGCCGGGGCGCUUCUCCUACGGCCUGGACCCCGGCACGUCGCUGCAGCUGCUCAUGUGGAACGGCACGCGCCCCUACUGGCGCAGCCCCGUCUGGAAGGGGUACGCCGUCGCCACCAUGUACGUCAGCGCCGGCACGGUGAUCUACACGGCGAUAGUCGACACGGACGAGGAGAUCUCCUUGGCCUUCUCCGUCUCCGGCGGCGCCGCGCCCACGCGGUACGUGGUGACCAGCUCCGGCAAGUUCCAGCUGCUCAUCUGGAACGGCACCAGGUCGGCCUGGGCCACGCUCCAGUCGUGGCCCUCCAGCGAAUGCACCACGUACAGGCACUGCGGCGCGUACGCCUACUGCGACACCACGGCGGCGCCGGCGACGUGCAGGUGCCUCGACGGCUUCGAGCCUGCUAAACCGGCAGAGUGGACCUCCGGCAGGUUCGGGCAGGGUUGCCGACGGAAGGAGGCGCUGCCGCCGUGCGGCGGCGGAGGCGGCGGCAAUGGGGUGGGUUUCAUAGCCAUGCCCAGCAUGAAGGUGCCGGACAAGUUCUCGCUGGACGCUGGCAACCGGAGCGCGGAGGAGUGCGCGGCGAGGUGCGCCGGCAACUGCUCGUGCGUGGCGUACGCGUACGCCAACCUGCAGAGCAGCAGCGCCAAGGGGGACGUGAGCCGGUGCAUCGUGUGGGCAGGGGAGCUCGUGGACGCGCAGAUGAUCGACCCGCGCUGGGGCGGCGAGACCCUCUCCCUCCGCGUGCCCGCCGCUGCCGCUUCCACUUCCCCAGGUACGGCAGAAAUAUAUUCCUUUUGCCAAACUUUGUCUGAAUUCUCUUGAAGAAUUCAAAAAAAAACAUGCUCUCUGCCGAAUUCGAAUUCAGUUUCAUCAAACGUUUACCAUAUAUUUGCAUGUUCAGGUGGAAAGGCCAGCAGAAAUGCAGUGAAAAUAGCAGUGCCGGUGGUAGCAUCUGCCCUGCUGCUCACAUGCAUUUUCUUUGUAUGGUUCUGCAGAUACAGAGGUACCGUUGCAUUUUAUGCUUACCUCUAGCCAAAACAUGCCAUGCCCAACCAUUUCGUUUCGUUCUUAGACAAGACGCUCAUCACUCAUCACAACAAUUGAAAAUUGAUACAGACAAGAGAAGGAAAACCGAGAGCCAGAAGAAGCUAAUGCCCGGGAUCAGGACCGGGACCACAAACACGUCGAGCGAGAUCGGAGAAGGAGAUCGCACCGGAGACCUUGAGUUCCCCUCCAUAGGAUUCGGCGACAUCGUCGCCGCCACGGACAACUUCUCCAAGACACUCAUGAUCGGCCGCGGAGGCUUCGGCAAGGUCUACAAGGUACUAGCUCCAUUCACUUUGUCUAGCUAGAAAAGUUCGGUCGUUGCGACCAACAAUUUAAACCCCUAGAACAGAGUCAUGAUCUCACACAUUCCACUUGUUUGUGUUUGUCAUUCCGAAGGGAACAUUAGACGGUGGUCAUGUGGUAGCAGUGAAGAGGCUGAGCAAGGAUUCGGAUCAGGGAGCAGAGGAGUUCAAGAACGAGGCGAUCCUGAUCGCCAAGCUGCAGCACCGGAACCUGGUGCGCCUCCUCGGCUGCUGCACCGAGGGGGGCGAUAAGCUGCUCAUCUACGAGUACCUGCCCAACAAGGGCCUCGACGCCAUCCUCUUCGGUACAUACUAUGUUCAGCGAACUCAAAUAUACAACUGAAGGUUUCUUGCCAUGGUUUCUGAAGUUCAGAUGUUGCAGACAGUGGGAGGAAGUCGGUGUUGGACUGGCCGACGCGGCUGGGGAUCAUCAAGGGGGUGGCCAGGGGGCUGCUCUACCUCCACCAGGACUCCAGGCUGACUGUGAUACACAGGGACCUCAAGGCCAGCAACGUGCUGCUGGACGCCGAGAUGCGGCCCAAGAUCGCCGACUUUGGCAUGGCCAAGAUCUUUGGUGACAACCAGGUGAAAGCCAACACCCGGAAAGUCGUCGGAACAUAGUGAGUAGCCUGACCACCUGACUGAAUUUUCUGAAAGAAACGAAAAAAUAUAUUUUUGUUCUGAGUUGGUAGUUAGCAUUUGAUCGAAAAAUACCCUAGCAAAAUGUGAUACCUCUUCUGACGAAAAAGUAUAAUGUGUGAACAGUGGCUACAUUGCUCCCGAGUACUCGACGGAGGGCGUCUUCUCAGACAAGUCCGACGUGUACAGCUUCGGCGUGCUGCUCCUGGAGAUCGUGAGCGGUAUCAGGGUAAGCGCGACCGAGGGCAUCAUGGAGUUUCCAAGCCUGAUAUCCUAUGUAAGGACCUCAACAAAAACUAACAGCUCCAUCUUGCAGUUAACUUCCAUUUUCAGAUACACUCAAUGUCAACAAAAGAACAUGCACAAAUGGUUGAUUUUUUGUGUGUGUUUCGUGUAGGCAUGGCACCUGUGGAGAGAAGGGAAGGCAGGCAAGCUGGUGGAUCCAUCCAUGGCAGGGAGCUGUUCACAGGAUGAGGCUUCGCUGUGCAUCCACGUCGGGCUCCUGUGCGUCGAGGACGACCCGAGCAGGAGGCCGCUCAUGUCCUCCGUUGUGUCCAUCUUGGAGAACGGGAGUGCGUCGGCGUUGUCCCUGCCGACGCCGGUGCAGCCUGCUUUUGUCGAAAUGAUGGGAGAGAAGAGCCAGAGAAGCGACCUCGAGAACACCAGGAACACAAUGGCCAUGACCGUUCUGCAAGGUCGGUAGUACGGUAGUUACUGCAACUUUCUUCAGAAGGAAGCUGCACUAGUCCUAGUGUUCCAUAUGAUUUACUGAGGAAAAACCCAAAUUUGUAGAGCAUUCGUUACAGAUCUAAACGAAAGACGCAUUUCAGGAGUGUUGAGUUGAUCAGCCUUGAAAUGGAUGGUAUGAUUGUCUUGCUGAGAUUGAAACGUUUAACAUGUUGGACUGAAAAUUAUUGAGACAAGUUAUAUAUACAUUAGACAUUCAGAGCAACUCUAACACGCCGACACAUUUCGUCUGCCUGCGUUCGUUUGGUUCGCGGCGGACAGAAGUGAGGCCUAACGCGUUGACCCAAACCCCAAACACAUCUGUUUCGCAUCCGUGCAGAUCCAUUUCAGGUCCAAAAUUGCGCGUGAAAUGCGUCGGCGCACACACGAAGCGGACGCGCCGCACGACCAGCGGCGUCGGCCGCAGUCCCACUUCGCGGCCCCCAACUACCACCCGCCGUCAAAUUUAGGACGACCACCGCCACCAGGUCCACUAGUCCGCCAGUGAAAGCGUCCUUUUUUACGUCCGACUUCCGUCCACAUCAGCCCCCCACCACCCACUUCGUGCUUCCCCGUUGGCGACAACCCAAGCCCUAGCUAUGGGGUUCUUUGGUAGCAGCUCCGGCAGCGACAAGGGCAUGGGCACCCCCGGCGCCUCAUCCACCCGUGCUCCUCCUCCUCCGCCUUCGGCACCUACCCGCUCAUACACAGGUCGCCAGCGUCUGCACAUCCCCGUGCAUCAAGCGCGGUGGCACUGGGUGUUCAGACAGCCGCUGCCAUACCCGAACGUCACGCUGCCGCACCACCGGCACCUUGAUCCGUAGCGGAUCCCGGUGCCAGCGGUGCCGCAGACACAACGGGCGCACGACAAGGAGGUGCGCAGGGGCCGGGUGUUGGGGAACGUCGCAUGGGAAACAAAAAUUUUCCUACGCGCACGAAGACCUAUCAUGGUGAUGUCCAUCUACGAGAGGGGAUGAGUGAUCUACGUACCCUUGUACAUCGUACAGCAGAAGCGUUAGAGAACGCGGUUGAUGUAGUGGAACGUCCUCACGUCCCUCGAUCCGCCCCGCGAACAAUCCCGCGAUCAGUCCCACGAUCUAGUACCGAACGGACGGCACCUCCGCGUUCAGCACACGUACAGCUCGACGAUGAUCUCGGCCUUCUUGAUCCAGCAAGAGAGACGGAGAGGUACAAGAGUUCUCCGGCAGCGUGACGGCGCUCCGGAGGUUGGUGAUGAUCUUGUCUCAGCAGGGCUCCGCCCGAGCUCCGCAGAAACGCGAUCUAGAGGAAAAACUAUGGAGGUAUGUGGUCGGGCAGCCGUGAGAAAGUCGUCUCAAAUCAGCCCUAAUUGCUCCAUAUAUAUAGGAGGAGGGAGGGGGACCUUGCCUUGGGGUCCAAGGGACCCUCAAGGGGUCGGCCGAGCCAAGGGGGGGAGGACUCCCCCCCCAAACCGAGUUGGACUUGGUUUGGUGGAAGGAGUCCCCCUCCCUUCCCACUUCCUCCCUCUUUUUUUUCUUUUCCUUUGAUUUCCUUUUCUUGGCGCAUAGGCCCCCUUGGGGCUGUCCCACCAGCCCACUAAGGGCUGGUGUGUCUCCCCAAAGCCUAUGGGCUUCCCCGGGGUGGGUUGCCCCCCCCCCCCCCCCGGCGCCCCCCGGCCUUCGUUUCCGGACCAUUUCGGAAACCCUCGUGACGUCCGUGAUCUCAUCCGGGACUCCGAACAACAUCCGGUAACCAACCAUAUAACUCAAAUACGCAUAAAACAACGUCGAACCUUAAGUGUGCAGACCCUGCGGGUUCGAGAACUAUGUAGACAUGACCCGAGAGACUCCUCGGUCAAUAUCCAAUAGCGGGACCUGGAUGCCCAUAUUGGAUCCUACAUAUUCUACGAAGGUCUUAUCGUUUGAACCUCAGUGCCAAGGAUUCAUAUAAUCCCGUAUGUCAUUUCCUUUGUCCUUCGGUAUGUUACUUGCCCGAGAUUCGAUCGUCAGUAUCCGCAUACCUAUUUCAAUCUCGUUUUACCGGCAAGUCUCUUUACUCGUUCCGUAAUACAAGAUCCCGCAACUUACACUAAGUUACAUUGCUUGCAAGGCUUGUGUGUGAUGUUGUAUUACCGAGUGGGCCCCGAGAUACCUCUCCGUCACACGGAGUGACAAAUCCCAGUCUUGAUCCAUACCAACUCAACUAACACCUUCGGAGAUACCUGUAGAGCAUCUUUAUAGUCACCCAGUUACGUUGCGACGUUUGAUACACACAAAGCAUUCCUCCGGUGUCAGUGAGUUAUAUGAUCUCAUGGUCAUAGGAAUAAAUACUUGACACGCAGAAAACAGUAGCAACAAAAUGACACGGUCAACAUGCUACGUCUAUUAGUUUGGGUCUAGUCCAUCACGUGAUUCUCCCAAUGACGUGAUCCAGUUAUCAAGCAACAACACCUUGUUCAUAAUCAGAAGACACUGACUAUCAUCGAUCAACUGGCUAGCCAACUAGAGGCAUGCUAGGGACGGUGUUUUGUCUAUGUAUCCACACAUGUAAAUGAGUCUUCAUUCAAUACAAUUAUAGCAUGGAUAAUAAACUAUUAUCUUGAUACAGGAAUUAUAAUAAUAACUAUACAUUUAUUAUUGCCUCUAGGGCAUAAUUCCAACACCGGGUGCAACUCACCCUGGCGUAGCGGCACAUGCCCGGGUACGCCGCAAACUCUCUCCCAAUCUGGUGGCCUGGUUCGUCAUCGAACACAAGGAGCCACGGCGCCUAGGCGUGCAGCGUCACCACGGCAACCCCCCGCCUCCCCCUAUCGCCAAGCAAGACGAGGAGGAAGACGAGGUGGCGUACCAGUCGCGUUGGAGGAGGCCUUCGCCAACUCCAUCGAGGAUAAGCGAUGAAAGGCCGAAGUGGCGGCGGAGGAGGUCGCGUACGAGGCGGAGAUGGCGGAGGCCAUGGCCCUCUCUGCAGCAGGCGACGGUGUGGUGCCUCCGUCGCCGUCGCGGCCCCCGACAAGGAAUCGAGAGAGGAAGAGAAUGUGUGCGCCCGCGUCGCCGCAUUGCCUUCACUGCAGCAGAUGCCGGAGGAGGCAACCCUCAUGGCCUAUCCAUCCGCAUUCGGUUGGGUUGGACACCUUCCGUCUUCAUCAACGUCACCGCGAUGACGAUGAUGACGUCUAGGGCUGUGUGCAGGCCGCCAACGUCUAAGGCCGCAUGCCGCCGCACCAACGUCUAGGGCUGCGUGCGGGCAUCAACUUCAAUUUUUUGUUUUUAUGAAUGUUUAAAUUUAGUUUAAAGUGGAAUUUGGCAGACGGUUGACAAGCGAGUCUUGAAUUCGUAUUUACUUUAAAGUAGACUUUGGACGUGCGCACAAAUUUAGGUCCACCUCCCGUUGAACGCUCAAGCCGACCUAUAUAAAAAAGCGGACGCAGACGUCCGCCUAACCGAUCCAAGCGGACAAAAGAAGGACAAAAGCGUCUUGGUAAUAUAUUUGAUUUAUUUGGUAAUAUAUUUGAUAGACAGCGUCUCUCUUCUUCUUUUUUACAUCUUAGAGAAACACUAGCUCAUCCUUGGUAAUAUAUUUGAUUUAUUUAUUCUAUGAGUAGAAUUAUUGUGGUUUAUGGUUAGUUAGUGUUUAGUGAAUAGUCAUUCUUUGAAAUACAGGACGAGACCGUUCAUUUACGCUGAGGUUUCUGCUGAGGCGACGGCGAAGCGUGAACGCGAAUUUAUUGAGAGAAAAAUGAACCACUGGGUGACAGCUGUUGAUGCGUUGAAUGCGACGUGUAAAACCUUUUCAAACUAGUAUUUUUGUAAGAACGCUGUGAAAAAUUUAAUCAAUAAAAAGGAGAGUGAGAUCACCAAGCUCAAAAAAACGAAAAAAGAUUGUAGGCGCGAUCUUGCAAUGCAAGUUGCAUUCUGUGCAACAAGGGAAGAACAUGAGCACUUUAACAUGAACAACCAUGGUCAGGUCAUUGAUUGGUUAGUGAGGCACCUUUUUUUGUUGGAACCGAAGCAGGCAUCUCGUUGGGCAUGGGUCAAAGUAAGAAAUGAUGUUCUUUGCUGCAAUCCGGGACCUUACGCCAAAUAAAAUGUCUGUUCAUUACCAUGAGCCUAUGUAAUCUUUGUCAUUUGAGACUAUAAUGCCAUGUACCCAUUUGCAUAACUUGUUCUCGUUUGAACUAUGAAAUCUUUAUCAUUUGAACUCCGUGAAGAUAUUGGUGUUGUAUGUCAUAUUGAACUAUGUAAUCUUUGUGAUGUUCUAUUGUUUGAACUCCAUAUUGAACUAUGUAAUCUGUGUGAUGUUUUAUUGUUUGUUCACAAAUUAAAUAUAACAUAUCAAGUGCAUUUUACUUCACUUCACGACAAGUUCACAAAUUAAAUAUAACAUAUCAAAUGCGCUUCAUUUCAUUUCACGAAAAGUUCACAAAUUAAAUAUAACAUAUCAAGUGCACUUUACUUCAGUUCACGACAAGUUCACAAAUUCUUCAGAGACAGCUAAUCCCAAAAAAUUAUGUGACGGCUAAUAAGGCUGGUUGUAAUAUAGAGUUAUCGUGCAUACGAUGUUAGUGUAUGAUAAUACAUUCUGAAUGCAUAGUACUCCCGCUGUCAUAGUUUAGAAGGCAUGUACGUGUAUCUAGAUCGUCAAUUUAACUUAUAUAAAAUAUAUGUUUAACAUAAAAAUUAUAUAAUUCGAAAAUAAAACAUCUAAAGUUUCUAAUGAUAUAUUUUUGUUAUAUAUGUCUCUCAUUAACUUGGUCAAAUUAAUGACCUAGAUACAUGUGUCGGACAUGUAAACUCAGACGGAGGAAGUAUCAUAAGAUAGUUUAUUUAUUGUCAUGCAUGACACAUAGUAGAACAUCGUUUAAUACGAUAUUAUGUUUUACUAUGUCUGAUAUUUAAUCUUCUCUUUAUUUAUUUAAUUAUAUGAAAUCUCAUUAGAAUUAUCUAGUUGACAUGUAUAAUACUCCCUCCGUUUCUAAAUAUAAGUAUUUUAAGCGAUUUCACUAGGGGUCUACAUACGGAACAAAAUGAUUGAAUGUAUGCUUUAAAGUAUGUCUAUAUACAUCCGUAUGUAGUCUAAUAGCGAAACCUUUAAAAAGACUUAUAUUUAGAAAGGGAGUAGGUACUUAUGAUAUUUUCGUUAUAACCAGCCUAACAUUGCCGCUCUCAAAAGUUUUCAUGCAUACUAUCCAUGUCACUUCAAUGUCUAUACGAAUUCAUUUACCUGUUUUGUCGGCCCGUAGCGUUUGUUGGGCAAGGUAGGUCGAGUUAAGAACUUGCGCGUAGGUAAAACGCGCACACACAGGAGACAACCAGACUCACCAGUUCACCUGUUCCCAUGCGCACUGCACUUCCCUGCAGGGUCCACGCUGAAACUAGUCAAUAUGAACUCGCCAAGUCGCGUCGCCGUGUGGCUAGGCUAGCUACAAUGGCGACAUCGCCUUCCGGACAAGAAGGAUCACGUAUGUACCGCCCACAGAAACGUCAAGGCGCUUUCCAAAAAACAAAGAACGUCGCCCGAGGGUAAUAAUGUGCAUCGGCGCACCGUGAACUUGAUCGAUGGACCUGUCACGUUCUGCCGUCCUCGUCCUCGCCGUCGCCGUCGCCGUCUUCCUCCUGUGCGCGUCCGCCGAGGACCAGCUGGCCGUGGGGGAUAAGCUCCUGGCUGGGCAGUCCCUCGUGUCCGCAGGCGGCGCCUUCGCUUUCGGCUUCUUCUCCCCUGACGACGCCGCCGGCACGGCCACACGGUGGUACCUCGGCAUAUGGUACAACGGCAUCCCCGGGCCUCGCACCGUCAUCUGGGUGGCCAACCGGGACGCCCCGGCCGCCGGCGCCCCGACGCUCACGCUGGCCAACGACUCCCGCCUCGUCAUGUCCGACGCCGACGGUCGCGUGCUCUGGAACACGACCGUCGCGAGCAGUUCGUCGUCGCAGACGCCCACGGCGGCCGUGCUGACGAACGGGGGCAACCUGGUCGUCCAGGGAGCGAACGACGCCGCGUUGUGGCAGAGCUUCGACCACCCAACGGACACGUUCGUCCCGGGCAUGAAGAUGCGGCUGAGCCACCGGACGGGCAAGGGCGACCGCAUCGUGGCUUGGAAAUCCCCCGGCGACCCGGCGCCGGGGCGCUUUUCCUACGGCCUGGACCCCAGCACCUCGCUGCAGCUGAUCAUGUGGAACGGGACGCGCCCCUACUGGCGCACUCCCAUCUGGCAGGGGUACGCCGUCGCCGCCAUGUACGUCAGCGCCGGCACGGUCAUCUACACCGCGAUCCUCGACACGGACUUGGAGAUCUCCAUGGCCAUCACCGUCUCCGACGGCGCGGCGCCGACGCGGUAUGUGGUGACAAGCUCCGGCAGGUUCCAGCUGCUCAGCUGGAACGGAACCCUGUCGGCGUGGGCCACGCUCCAGUCGUGGCCAUCGAGCGGGUGCGGCGCAUAUAGUCGCUGCGGCGCAUACGGGUACUGCGACGUCACAUCGGCGCCCGCGGCGUGCAGGUGCCUGGACGGCUUCGAGCCGGCGAGCGCGGCGGACUGGAGCGCCGGCAGGUUGGAGCAGGGGUGCCGGCGAAAGCAGGCGCUGCCGCCAUGCGGCGGCGUCGGGGUAGGUUUCGUGGCGAUGCGGAGCAUGAAGGUGCCGGACAAGUUCUCGAUCGACUCCAGCAACCGGACCGCGGGGGAGUGCGCGGCCAGGUGCGCCGCAACCUGCUCGUGCGUGGCGUACGCGUACGCCAACGUGCAGAUCAACAGCGCCAAGGACGAACUGAUCCGGUGCGUGGUGUGGUCAGAGGAGCUCGUCGACGCGCAGAUGAUCGACGCGCGCUGGGGCGGCGAAACGCUCUACCUCCGCGUGGCCGAAAUUGAUGAUGCCUCCACAGGUAGAGGUAGUAGAGCAGAAACACACUUGUUUCUUUUGCCCAACUUCAUCUGUUGAAUCUUUAGUCUCUACCGAAAUCAACCCAAACAAAUUUGCCAGUGCCGGUGUUAGCCCUGCCCAACACAGGUAGAAAGUCCAGCAGAAAUGCGGUGAAGAUAGCCCUGCCGGUGUUAGCAUCCCUCCUGCUGCUCACAUGCACUUUCUUUGUAUCGUUCUGGAGAUUCAGAGGUACAGUUGUAUUUUUCUUCCUUUUUUUUUCUUUAUUAACUCUGAACAUGGCGUGCUCGACCAUUCUUUCAUACACACACACACACACAAAAAAAAAGCUCACAAGCACCAAUGUCGCAGUCAAGGGAAGAAAAACCGAGAGCCAAAAUAAGAACAAGUCGGGCAAAAUCGGAGGAGAUCACACAGAAGACCUUGAGUUCCCGUCCAUACGGUUCGCCGACAUUGUCAUCGCCACGGACAACUUCUCCAAAACACUCAUGAUCGGACGCGGAGGGUUCGGGAAGGUCUACAAGGUACUACUUCUACUCAGAUUUGCUAAAUUUCAGUCACCUGAAAUUUUCUGUUCUGUUAGCUUAGCAGUUUUUUUUUAAAUCAGGGGCCUCGCCCGGCUCCAUUUUCAUUAUCAAAGAGAGGCAAAUUUUUCCAUUAGUGGUUGUUAGACUGUGUAUUUGUAUAGCUUUCGUAUAUACCCCUGUAUGUAUACCCCUUAUAGAUAUAAGAUAGCUACACCCGUAUUGGAUGUCGAGCAGUUUUCAUCAAACAUUGUUUUACAUGGUAUCAGAUUAGGUUAGAUCGUUUUUCCACUUUCACAGUUCCACUGUCGCCGCCGCCUCACGGCUUCUCCACCGGGCGCCGCCACGAUCUCCGCUCGCCCGACCGCUACACCUGCCGCCUGCCCAGCCCCUGUCGCUCAGGCCGCCCCGUCAUCUCCAUUUUUUGGCCUCCUGAUCGCUGGCCUCUCUGUCCGGUGUCUUCAUGGCCGCCCCGACGCCGCCUCUGGGUCGCUUUGACGUCGUCCCACCACCGGCAUCCUAUGGUGCCUCCCACCCGACGGCGCCCUACAACCCUGCUCCUGCCCCGCAGGCGUUUGGGGGUCAUGCCCCGCCCGCGGCUGCACCCUAGUGGGUGUAUCAGCACCCGUCGGCGGGCCACUCGCCCAAGGGUCCUCCACACCCGAUGCCGCUGGGGGGUGGUUCCUACGGUGUUGCUCCUGCCACCCCAUGGCCGAGUACGCCCUACGUACCCCCGACUACGUCGGCCUCUGCCUACCUGCAUGUCUCAGGUGCCGCGCCUCCUUACGGUCCGACCGCCUUGUACGCGAGGCCAUAUGGAGGUCCAUCGACCGACCUGGUUGCGUCACCUUCGUGCGGCUAUGCCCCGCUACCACCAUCGGAUCAGGGUGUCCCUGCUUCGCUGUUCUACUUCGCGCACCUCAUCCCGGUGAAGUUGACAACGGAGAACUACCUGUCGUGGGGUGCUCAGGUCUUGCCACUUCUCCGUAGUCUCUACUUGGAGGGGUUUGUUGAUGGCACUCUGUCGUGUGCCCCGCCUUAUCACCCGGGGCAUCAUGCGUGGGUGGCUCAAGAUCGAGCCAUCCUUUCAGCUAUCCAGUCCUCUCUUAUGGAGGGGGUCUCGUCACUUUCAGGCGGCCCUUCGGGUUCCUCAUUGGCGCAAGGCCAUCGAGCAGGAGUUUCAGGCACUACAGAGGAACGAUACUUGGCGCUUGGUUCCUCCUGUGUCGGGUGUCAACAUAAUUGAUUUCAAGUGGGUCUUAAAGGUAAAAAAGCAUGUCGGUGGUUCCAUUGAGCGCUUCAAGGCACGGUUGUUGGCCAAAGAUUGUACACAACGGUAUGGUCUUGAUUAUGAGGAUACUUUCAGCCCAGUUGUUAAACCUACCACUAUGUGUCUGCUUCUCUCCUUGGCUGUUGCCAAAGGGUAGUCUAUGCGCCAGCUUGAUGUUCAGAAUGCUUAUCUCCAUGGGGUCUUGGAGGAAGAAGUUUACAUGCGGCAACCUCCCGGUUUUGUUGAUCCAGCUCGUCCACAUCAUUUAAGUCGUCUUGUUAAGGAGCUUUAUGGACUCAAGGAGGCUCCUCGUGCAUGGCAUGCCCGGCUGGGCUCGGUUCUUCGACAGCUUGUGUUUACUCCGCCCACUGCUGACACGUCAUUGUUCCUGUUUCAUCGUCUUGAGGUGACUAUAUGUACCUGCUGGUUUAUGUUGAUGACAUUAUUCUUAUAAGCUCGUCCGUCUGCUACUAAUCGUCUGCUAUCUGCUCUCAGUGGUCACUUUGCUGUCCAGGAUCUGGGGGCUCUCUAUUACUUUCUUGGCUUGGAGGUUUCACAGUCUUCUGCUGGCCCGACUCUCACUCAGCCGAAGUACUCUUUUGACCUGCUACGCCGUGGAGGUAUGUUGCGCUGCAAGCAUGCUACCACCCCUAUGUCUGCGACAGGUCGGUUAUCAGCCUUGGAUGGUGACUUACUCCGUCCAGAUGAUGCUACUGAGUAUCACAGUGUUGUUGGAGCUUUGCAGUACUUGACUAUUACACGGCCUAACAUUUCCUAUGCGGUUAACCUUGUGUGACAGUUUCUUCAUGCUCCUCGAACUUCACACUGGUCAGCUGUGAAGCGUGUCUUGCGUUAUCUCUCACACUGUCUCAUAUGGCUUGCAUCUUCGGUCUACCUCUUCGUCUGCCCUCUCGGCCUUCUCCGAUGCUGAUUGGGCUGGGAGCCGUGAUGACCGACGAUCAACGGGGGGCUAUGCUGUCUUUUAUGGGGAUAACUUGAUCGUUUAGAGUGCACGCAAGCAGGCCACAAUAUCUUGGAGUAGCAUUGAAGCAGAGUACAAGGCGGUUGCCAAUGCCACGACUGAGCUCAUUUGGGUAAAGUCUUUGUUGAGAGAGUUAGGUAUCUCUCAACAACAACCACCCGUUCUUUGGUGUGAUAAUAUUGGUGCGACAUAUCUUUCAUCUGAUCCAGUUUUUUAUGUUCGUACCAAGCACAUCGAAGUUGACUAUCACUUUGUAAGGGAACGCAUUGCACGGAAGCUUCUUUAUAUCAAGUUCAUCUCUUCAAAGGAUCAAUUUGCUGACAUCUUCACAAAGCAACUUUCACAACCUCAGUUUGAGGGAUGCAGGUGCAAUCUUAACUUGCUUUGUACUUCAGGACAUAGUUAAGAUUGAGGAAGGAUCUUAGACUAUGUAUUUGUAUAACUUUCGUAUAUAGCGCUAUACUCUAUAUACCCCUUAUAUAUAUGAGUUAGCCACAUCCGUAUUGGGUGUCGGGCAGUUUCCACCAAACAUUGUUUUACAACUGCGUCCUCAUGAGCAGUGUUUGUGUGUGCAUGGAGAGAGAGAAGUCUGUGUGGAGGGGAGCAUGUGGAUGGGCAAGAAAUGCAGGAGAGAGGAGAGAGAGACGCUGGCAGAGCGCCUGCAUGCCGGCGAAAUUAGCCCCCCCCCCCCCCCCCCCCCCCCCCCCCCCCCCCCCCGCCCCCCCCCCCCCGCUCCUCUCNNNNNNNNCCCCCCCCUCCCCAUGUGCCCAGCUUCCUGGAUUUGCCUUUGGGGCCGCUAACGCAUUUUUGAUCAAAUACAGCGAAAAUUGAGAAGGUGGAGGCGCGACUCGACGAUUUUAUCAACGUCGAGGGUUAAAAAGUGUUUUGAGGAGGACUGUUAAGGGUGCGGCUGGAGAUGCUCUAAACAAGUAGUUCCUGACACAUUAUUACAAAGCAAGCUAAAAAGCUCAAUCCCACACACGGGAGUCUGAAACAAAACAAACAACUAGCAAUAACUGCACAAAACUAUCACUUAGCAACAGAUUCAAAGUUAGUAACUAAAAUAUCAAAUAGGCUCUCUACCUCUUUCAAGAUUAACCUAACUACUAUACACUCGUAAAACAAGUGAUACACUGACUCUAUCUCAGUACAAUGAACACAUUCAAGCUGCUUAGCCAGUUCUCUUUUCCUCUGAUUGUCAUAGACACUCACAGGUCAUUAUUUUGUUCUGAGAAAAUAACCAGAGAAAUCCCUCAACCCUGGGUGGUACAUUGAUCUUCCACACAACAGGCAAGAAGAUAGGUUGGACCCCACUAAAUUCACUAUUGCAUACAAAGAUUUACUGGAAUAAACACCUUUAGACUCAUAUUGCCAGAUCAAAGAGUCAUCCUCAUGACAGAACUUAGUGAGUUUGAUGAUAUUAACCAAAUCAAACCACUGAAUCAUUAGUUCAUUACAAAAAAUUAUCCUAAAUGUACAUUUAAGUUCUUGUCCGUCCCGAAGCUUUGAAAUAGUUAUAUUUUUCUCAUUGAUCAAAUAGUAUAUGUCCCAAAAUUGGAUGGCGAGAGGUGCAUUAGAGCAUCUCUAGCACACCCCAUAUUUUUCCGACCCGCAUAAGUCGUUUACAGUUCGACGAAGCGGGAUUUUGCGGGGCGAAAUAGUGCGCUGUAGAAUAGACCCCGUAUAUGAAACUGUAUAAUUUGAAAAAAACUUUCACGGAAGAAAUUACAACCACACUGAUCUUUUAUAGUUCAUCACAUACUACAUGAUCAUACAUGCUACAUUCUACUACUACUACUAUAGGGGGUUGGGGAUCUCGCCGGAGCUAACUAUCCUACCGCACUAAGAAAAAUAGAGCUUACCAGAGCUCGUGUUGUAGUUGUCCAGCAACAGCGCGGGCAAAAGGUUGUCCGCCUCCAUCGGGGGAAGGAAGUCCUCCGGCCCGACGACGCCCCCGGCACGUCGCUCCGGCCCCGUCCAUCUUCACCAAGGGGAGCUCCUCUAGCUCCCUCUUCACCGGGGUGAGGGAGGAGUGCGAGCUCGACGCCUUGAAGGAGUUGCUGCUGCCGGAGAAGAGGCGGCCUCGCACACGGUCGUACUCCUCUGUCUCGCGGCGGAGGAGCGACGGUGGUGGCGACCGGCCCCAGCGCGUGUAUCGUAGGGCGGUGCGCUUCCGCGCCGCGUCGUAUUUGACGCAACGCACCCUCUCGGGGUCAUCGUUGCCAUGGCGACUGAAUUUGGUCAUCUCGAGCGAUGGAUUGAAGGGGCGAGGCGACAGAUUGGAGGUGCGGGCGGCGGAUCUAAGGCGUCGACGGUGAGGGGUGGGGAGUUUUCGCGGUGGCGGUGGGAUAGGGUUCGGACCCGUAUCCAGCAGUCGAACCCGCACAUAUAGCGGUCGGGGGUCUCGUUUCCGAGCCACUGUAAAAAAUGAUCCAAACACAUAUAAUCGCCCAAAUUUUAAAGUUUCGGCAAUUAUACAGCUCUACUAGAGAUGCUUUUACCAUACCAAAUGUCUCCACAAAACCGAAUAAGUCUACCAUUGCCCACUGCGCAUUUUCUACCGCACUCUCACUGUCUGGCAGUGCCCACAUGAAUGUCUUCCAGAAUUGAGAAGAGUUAUUAUCAUGACAACAUAGGAUAUUAGGCCACUUUCAAUGCAUUGGGUGCUAAGAUGAGGUACUAAACACAUUAAAUUAUUUAGUAACUAUAGUCUUCAAUGCAUAGUUGCUUAGCUUAUUGUAGCUAAGCUUCCUUAUUUAAUGCUUUCGCAACUAAAGUUGUGUAUGCAUUGGUGCAUUUCUUUCAUUUAAUUCUUUGACCUAGGUUCACGCACUUAGCAUUGUUUCUUCCUGGGUCACCACACUUAUCUCUCUCCUAUUAGUUAGCUUGGCACAUUAAAAAAAUUAUCUACGUGACAGCCUUAGCACCUGUAUAAGAUGAAGCAUUGGGAGUAGCCUUAGGGCUUUUGCUAUUAUACUUACUAUCUAUCAGCGUCCUCGAGAAAGAACCUUCCCCAGCUAUGUAUCUUUUCACUCUAGAACAUAUCAAACAAAUGUCCUAAAAUUUACAACCCCCAUACCUCCAAACUCCUUCUUCAUACAUAUAAAAGGUGAGUUAACUAAGUGUUUAUUAUUUUGUCCUUCGCUAUCACUUCAUUGACACAAGAGCCCACUUGGGAAAUUUAACAAAGGACAGAAAAUAUUUUUUCAGAUAGGGGCUCUCUAUUACUUAAAAGAUUUAAGCACUAUACCCCACCCAUGUAUAGCCAAGAUGCACACAACCAAACAAUGUCUUCUCAUACAAACGAGAAUAAAAGGCGAAAUACAAAGAAACAUGCAUAGUCCGUAUAAUGCAUAAAGCGAAAGGGGGGUGGAUCAUGCUGCCACCCAUUUUUGGAUAAAACUACCCCUCGUCAUAGCCUGUAAUCAUGUACACACCUUCGUAAAUAGCUGUCGAUUCUCCAGACGGUGUAGAGAGAACAAUAAACAAAGAACCCUGAUACAUCUCUAGAUAACCUCCAUGAAAAAAGUAAUUUUAUUGUUAAAAAAUUUAUCGUUUCUACAUAGUCAAACCGACCAAGUAAUAGCCAUAGCAACCAAGUAACUUUGACCCUAAGAAGUGUUUUAAACCUAUGAUCAGUCGAAUGUAGCCAGUUGCAAAUACAUUAGUAACACUACAUGAAGGAUACAACUUAGAUGACUGACCAUAUAAAAUGAGCCAAAUUGCAUUGAAAGAAUAAAUGUUCUGUUGUGUCACUAUGGUGACAAAAGAUAAAUUGCAGACUAUCUUGACAAUUCCUCUUAAUAAGGUAAUCUUUAGUAAGAAUGACUCCGCGACAAAGAUACCAUGCAAAGAUAUUAUUCUUAAGUGUUAUCUUCAUCUUUUAGAUCUUCUUGUCAUUAUCAACUAUCACAUAGGUUUAGCAGAAAUUUGAUGUUCUGUUCAGUCAUGAUCUCACUAACUCCACUUGUUUAUGUUUACCAUUGGGAAGGGAACGUUGGAAGGCGGUCAUGUGGUUGCUGUGAAAAGGCUGAGCGAGGACUCAGACCAGGGAGCAGAGGAGUUCAAGAACGAGGCAAUUCUGAUUGCCAAGCUGCAGCACCGGAACCUAGUCCGCCUUCUUGGCUGCUGCACCGAGGGGGCCGAGAAGCUGCUCCUACGAGUACCUUCCCAACAAGGGCCUCAAUGCCAUCCUCUUCGGUACAUAUAAUGUUUAAGUCAUCACAACCGAAAUUACUGCAUUGUUUUAGCUUAAGUUUCAUAUGACAUGUUUGCUGCAGACAGUGUGAAGAAAGCGGUGCUGGACUGGCCGACGCGGCUGGGCAUCAUCAAGGGGGUGGCAAGGGGGCUGCUCUACCUGCACCAGGACUCGAGGCUGACGGUGAUACACAGGGAUCUCAAGGCAAGCAACGUGCUGCUGGACGCCGAGAUGCGGCCCAAGAUCGCCGACUUUGGCAUGGCCAAGAUCUUCGGUGACAACCAGGUGAAAGCCAGCACCCGGAAUGUCGUCGGAACAUAGUGAGUUAUCUUAACACCUGUAAAGAAAAAGAAAUUCUUCUUGUUUCGAAUUUAUUUGUUCAAGUCCUUUUUUUUUUUUUGGUUUUAAGUUGGUACGCCAUUUAAGAAAAUGGUGGAACCUCUUAUGACGAGAAAGUAAUGUGUGGACAGUGGCUACAUUGCUCCUGAGUACUCGACGGGGGGCGUCUUCUCCGUCAAAUCCGACGUGUACAGCUUCGGCGUACUGCUGCUUGAGAUCGUGAGCGGCACCAGGAUAAGCGCAAUCGACGGCAUUAUGGAGUGUCCUAGCCUGACAGUCUAUGUAAGCACCUGAACAAAAACUGAUAGUGUCAAACCAAAUAUAUACUUGCAGUUAGUUUCCUUUUGCAGUACACCCCAUAUCAUGAUCAAAUCCAUAUUCAUCUUUUUAAAAGGCAUACACAGAUGGUUGAUUUGAUUGCUUCAUGUAGGCAUGGAGCCUGUGGAGGGAAGGGAGGAUAGGUAAGCUGGUGGAUCCAUCCAUGGCAGAGAGCUGUUCAGAGGAUGAGGCCAUGCUCUGCAUCCACGUCGGGCUCCUGUGCGUGGAGGACGACCCGAGCAGGAGGCCGCUCAUGUCGUCUGUCGUGUCCAUCUUGGAAAAUGGAAGCGCGCCAGUGGUGGCAUCGGCGUCUCUUCCAGCGCCGAACCAGCCAGGGUACUUUAAAAUGAUAGGAGAGAAGAGCCAGAGAAGCGAUCUCGAGAACACCAGGAACGCCAUGACCAUGACAGCUCUUCAUGGACGGUAGUAUAGCAGUUACUGCAGCUUUCAUCAGAAGGGAAGUUGCGCUAGUCCUAGUGUUCCGUUUCUUUCUUUUUUUUACCGGGGAAGACCCCUGGUUCAUAGAGCAUUUGUCACUGAUGGAAAUGAAAGGUUUAUUUAUAGGAGUGUCGAGUUUAUCAGCCUUGAAAUGAACUCUGUUGCUGAAUUGAAAUCUUUACCAUGUUAGACUGAAAAUUAUUCAAGCAGGUCGCCUCAAAUCUAUAGCUGACGACCAAAAGUGCGUUUUACAGAGGUAAGCACUAGCUGGCAUAUCCCCUGAAACCAAACUCUACUAAAAAAAGUUAGUUACAUUCCUAAUAACCAACCCCGGAUGACUAUAUUUGCUCCAGUCGCGGCCUUUGGACUAAAGAUAAGAGCAUCUCCAGCGUUCGGCCCCCUAAGGCCGUGAAAUAGCGCCGCCUGAGGACGCGGCGGCGGAAAAAACAGCGUGGGAGGGGGGGGGGGGGGCUCGGGUUCCCAGCCAUCGAUUUUGGUCCAUUUUCGGCGUAAAUUGACCCAUUUUCGGUGCAAAUUGGCCCACUUUCGGUGGUCUAUAAAACUUAGCUCGAUUACAUGAUCUAUCUCAUCUAAUCCCACCAUCAUUCAGCAAAUCUACAAAGGAAUUACUCACUCCCAGUGAUGAGCAUCAUAGCGGUGUUGAUGAAGAAGGGUUGGUGAUGACGACGGCGACGAAUCCACCUCUCCGAACCGCUAAACGGACUCCAGAUUAGCCCUCCGGGGAAAGAACAAGAGGUGGCGGCGGUUCCGUCUCGUGAAACGCGAUGAAAACUUCUUUCUAAUUUUUUUCUCCGAAGAUGUGAUUUUAUAGGACUGGAAUUAGGGUCGGAGGAGACACAUGGGCCCCACAAGGUUUCUGGGUGCGACCUGGGGGUGGCGUGGAGGGGGGGGGACGCCCUGUUGUCUUGUGCCCCCUGGCACACCUCCUCCGGUAGGUCUUUGCUCCAUAAUUCCUUAUAAAUACCAGAAAUAAUUCAUAAAAAAUUUCGUCCGAUUCCGAGAACUUCUAUUUCUACACAAAAAUAACAUCAAGGUAGUUCUGCUGAAAACAACGUUAGUCCGGGUUAGUUUCAUUUAAAUCAUGUAAAUUAGAGGUCAAAACUAGAGCAAAAGUGUUUGUAAAAGUAGAUACGUUGAAGAUGUAUCAUCGGUCAACCGCAGACUCAUCCGGCAGAGGCAGGCGAAGGCCGACACCCGCUUCGACGAGCUCGGCGCGGAUAUAGCGGCGAAGGAGGCCGCAUCGGAGCAGUCCGAGGGGGGGGGGAGCUGUGGCUACACCCCAUGUAUCCGCCAAUGGACACGUAGAUCGUUGAAAUCUUCGAUGAGGAGUGGUAGUUAGUUUUCUACGUAGUAGUACGUAGGUUUCUUUGGUUGGCGAGAUGUCUGGGCGCGUCCGGUCACUCCCUGCGGUUUAUUUGAGACGUGCCCGAUCACUCCGUGUGGACGCACCCAAACGCGGACGCAGGUGUUUGAGGGAUCAUUUUUUGCUAUCCUUGGUUGUAGAUGCUCUUAUGUUGCAGAUAUACACGGAAGUGAUACAACCGGACCAGGGUGUGGUACGAUGGUGCUGGCAUUGGACGCCGACAUUGUUUGUGGACGUCGUGGCCGAAGUGGCCAGCCUACGAGGCUCUUUUUUUACCAAGUGUUACUUAGUACUCCCUGUGUCCCGAAAUUUUUGUCUUAGAUUUGUCUAGAAAUAGAUGUAUCUGAAUACUAAAACGCGGCUAGAUACAUUCAUAUUUAGACAAAUGUAAGAUAAGAAUUUUAAGACGGAGGAGUACUUAGUACUUAGUUUACAAGGAAUUAAGCCAAUUACCGGUGUUUUUUACAUUCGGCCUACUCCCUUUGUUUUUCUUAAUCUGCAUAUAAAAUUUAAUUAAAGUCAAACAAUAAAAAGUUUAACCAAAUUUAUAUCAAAAGAUAUCAACAUCUGCAAUACUAAAACUAUAUGGUACGAAACUUAAUAUCAUGAUGCACCUAGUAAUCUUCAUUUCAUAUUAUGAAUGUUAAUAUCUUUUUCCUACUAGUAUAAAGUUGGUCAAAGUUUAUGAAGUUUAAUAUUAUCUUCGUCCGAAAAUAUUUGUCUUAGAAAUGAGUAAAUGGAUGUUUGUAUAAUCAAAAUAAAUCUAGAUACAUUUAUCUUUAAAAUAAUUAUUUCCGGACGAAAAGAGUAUUAAUCAAAUCUUAUAUACAUACUUAAAAAAAACGGAGAGAGUACGUGUCAAGCCACACGAAGACUUAUGAUUAUCUGACUCAAGGUAGCUGCAUGCGCCAUGAGCCAACCCCCUCCAAUCCCCCUUCUUGCUCGUCUCCCUCUUGUCUUGCUCCAGGGCGCGCUAGUAGAGUGCACUGUAGCGGCACGCCACCCCAGCUUGUGGUGGAGAGAGGUCUGUGCGUUACUUCCGUAAUAAUUUCCCGUAGACGACCCCUCUGGCUCAACUGUCGUUGUAGAACUAAGACGGCGCGUACGUAUGACGCGCACACACCGGAGACCGGACCAGUUCACCAUGGGUGCAAUGCAUGCCGAAGAGCACUAGUCAGUCGUAUGACUUCACAAAGUCGCGCCAUCGUGUGGUGUGGCUACGUCGCCUUGCAUUGCAGCCAAGAGCAACAAGGUUCAUGCACUGCCCUCACGAAGUGCCUGCACGCACCUUGAAUUUGCUCAAUGGACCUGCCGCCACGUUCCGCUGCCGUCCUCGUCCUCGCCGUCGUCGCCGCCUGCCUCCCGUGCAUGUCGGCCGAGGACCAGCUGGCCGUCGGGGACAAGCUCCUCGCCCGGGAUACCAUCGUGUCCGACAGCGGCGACUUCGCCCUCGGCUUCUUCUCCCCGGACGACUCACCCGCCGCUCCCGCGAGACGGUGGUACCUCGGCAUAUGGUACCACAGCAUCCCCGGGCCUCAAACCGUCGUCUGGGUGGCCAACCGGGACGCCCCAGCCGCCGGAGAGCCUACGCUCGCGCUGGCCAACGACUCCAGCCUCGUCCUGUCCGACGCCGACGGCAGCGUGCUCUGGACCACGCCCGGCGUGGGCACAUCGUCCUCGCAGCCGGCGCCAGCCGAGCUCGGGAACGACGGCAACCUGCUCAUCCUGCUGCCGAACGGCACGGUGGUGUGGCAGAGCUUCGACCACCCGACGGACACGUUCAUGCCGGGGAUGAAGGCCCGGCUGAGCCGCCGGACGGAGAGGCGUGACUGGAUCGUGUCCUGGACAUCCCCCCGCGACCCGGCGCCGGGCCCCUUCUCCUGCGGCCUGGACCCCGUCACGUCGCUGCAGCUGCUCAUGUGGAACCGCACGCGGCUCUAUUCGCGCACCCCCGUCUGGACGGGGUACGCCGCGUCCGGGACCAUCGUCAGCGCCGGCAUGGUCAUCAACACGGCGAUAGUGGUCGUGGGCACCGAGGAGGAGAUCUCCAUCACCUUCACAGUGUCCGGCAGCCCGACGCCCACGCGGUACGUGGUGACCAGCUCCGGCACGUUCCAGCUCCUCAGAUGGAACGGCACCGCGUCGGCCUGGGACACGCUCCAGUCGUGGCCGUCCAGCGGGUGCACCACCUAUGGCCGCUGCGGCGCGUACGGGUACUGCGACGCCACGGCGGCCCCGCCGUCGUGCAAGUGCCUCGAUGGGUUCGAGCCGGCGAUACCGGCGGACUGGAGCGCCGGCAGGUUCGAGCAGGGCUGCCGGAGAACGCAGGCGCUCCCGCCGUGCGGCGGCGGCGGGCAUGGUUUCCUGGAGAUGCGGAGCAUGAAGGUGCCGGACAACUUCUCGCUCGACGCCGGCAACCGGAGCCCGGAGGAGUGCGCGGCGAGGUGCGCCGGCAGCUGCUCGUGCGUGGCCUACGCGUACGUCGACCUGCACAGCAGCAGCGCGCGGCAGCUGCGGUGCCUGGUGUGGGCAGGGGAACUCGUCGACGCACAGAUGAUCGGCGCGCCCGGCCAGACGCUCUACCUCCGCGUGCCCGUUGCUGCAACGUCCACAGGUACGGCUGAAAGAAAAAGAACAUAUGCUUUGUUGUCCGAAACUUUGUCAAAGUUAUGAUGAAUGUUUACUGAAUUGAAAACAAAAAAGUGGGACAUGGAUAUCCAGUGAACGUUCAAUUUUCAAUGCUCGGCAAAUCAAACGUUUUUCAUCGCAAGUUGUGUUUCUUGAGGGUUAAAAGUUUAAUUUACGAGCAUGAAAAGUCCGUCUCAGUUUAUUUUUAUUAGAAAAUUAUUACAAUUGCAAGCUAUUUUUUUACAAGAAAGCCUUCGGGAUAUAGCUUUAUUCAACUUCAGAUAGUACUUACAUAAUCUGUUAAAAACUUCAAAAUGAAAUCAGGGGUGCGAGGCAGGAGGAUUAACACGUCUCUACUUAGGCCCUGUUUGAAACCAUAAUAGAUUAUGAUAAUCUAGAUUAUGAAAAUAAAUUAUAUAAUCUGGUUUAUAAAAAAAAUCUAGGUGGACAUGUUUGCAGACCAGAUUAUAUAAACUGUAAUCUAGGUUUUACAUUGCAUAAUAAUGACCCGUCUACCCUCUGUUUUUUAAAAAGAGGUGGAUGGCGGUGGUAGGAAUGUAAUUAUGUUUAACUUUGCAAGGAUAAUGGGUCAUUAGCAAUUCAUAAUCCGAUUUUACCUGGUGUAGAGUAGAUUAUAAGUUUUUAAUAAUCUAUCCAUCUAGUUUUUAUAAUCUACACCAUAAUUUGUCCUGUUUGGAGACAUAAUAGAUUAUAAAAACUAGAUUGUAUAAUCUGGAUGGUUCCAAACAAGGCCUUAGCUACCUCGUGAGCAACUAUGUUUAACUCCCUAACGGUGGUGGAGCUACAACCACAUCUUUGGGCGAGCUAAAACGGAUCAACUUAAAAAAUAAUACAUUAAUACAGUAUACAUCUGAAGUUUUGCUCUUAGGCCUCUCUCAAUGCUUCAUUUCGUAUAGGUGCUAAGGCUAUCAUAUAGACGAAAAAUCUAAUGUAGUAAAAGUAAUUUAGAGGAGAGAGAUGAAUGUGGUGACCUGGGAAAAAACAACGUCAAGCACGUAAACCUAGGCAAAACACUUAAAUAAAAGAAAUCCACCAACACAUGAACAACUUUAGUUAAUAAAUCAUUAAAUAAGGAGGCUUAGCUACAACAAUCUAAGCACCUAUGCAUUGAAGGCUUUAGUUGCUAAACUAUUUAAUGUGCUUAGCACCUAAUCUUAACAUCAAUGCAUUGAAAGUGGCCUUAGAGCAAGUACAAUAGUCCUAUUCAGUAGGCUACAAGGGAUUCCACCUCACCAAAAAUCUGAGCUGGAGGAGGGUAAAGACAGGAGAGAGAAGGGAACGGGCGUUGUCGUGGGUAUAAGCCUGACAGUAGAUGUGUAGGAUACGAAAAGGAUGGGCAGAGUCCUAGCUACGGCGAGGAUGUAUGAGUUCAGGCCCCUCUGCGAUGGAGGUAAUAGCCCUACGUCUCAGUUCUCAGGGAGCUUUGUUGUCGAGUGGAAUCAGGAAUACAAUGAGUUGCUAACCUCUUUACCAGUGGGGGAGGGUGGCUUAUAUAGAGUGCGCUGCCCUCCACAACGGUUCCGAUACAGGGGUGGAGUAGUGGCGAUUGAAUGUGUACGUUACAGGUAACCUACGCCCUAAAUGCCAAUAAAUGCACCUGGAAACGUACGACCGUUUCCCUCCAGGGGGUUACGAUGUACCGAGUGGUAUACAGUCGGUUAGCCUGAUAUGCUCCGAAUGCUAGUCUCCGACUGGACGAUCGAGAGUAAAUUACCGACUGGAUGACAGGGAUUCCUUAAUUCAGUCGGAGCUGACUAGGGGUCUAGUCCUUUGCGAGGGGUGGUCCUUGGAUAAGACCUACAGGGCAGGCCUAUGACCCUACCCUAGUACUAUAACCCCAUCAGGCGCUUCACUAGUCGCCCGGCUGCAGCACAAGACCCGAGAAAGUUUAGCCCACUUGGAGCUCGAAGCCGGCGACAGGGCCACUGCUCCCAAUCCCCUGCGUCUCACCAUCCAAUCAACUGCUUUUUUCCUUUCUUACCAUGCAUGCGAACAUUGAUUGCCCUGGCCUCAACAGCUCAUAUAAAGCCAACCUUAUUACACCAGACUUCUUCUACGAAGGCUAUUGUUGACAUGGCACCGAUAUACAGCCGGUAGCCGGCGUUUCUAUUAACCAUGCUCUUAGGGUCCAAAUUCAGCACCAGUCUUCAUUAAAUUUUCAUUAAGCUGGGUGGGCCAUGUCUGGUUUUGCCCAGCCAUAGCUCCGCCAUUGCUCCCUAAUUAAUACAAUGCUCGUAGUAACCUUACCAUGAUCACGAAAACAAUUUCGAAAAUCCUGACAACGCUGCCGUCAUCAUAGAAUGCUCGUCAUUUGAAUUUAAAGCUUGUACCACAAUGGGGUUACUUAAACUCACCAUUAGAUUGUUACAUCCACUGAUGUGUGCAAGUUUGAAACCUUCUAGAAACGUCGCGGCCUCGGUUGAGACUACACCCGCUACAUGUUCAAGUUUUGCGGUAGAAGCUGAGAUUCCGAAUGAUAUAUAGCUCUACAUGAACCAGAAUAAUUUUUCGUGCUUGCAUACUAAUUUUACAUCAUCAAAGAAUUAGCCAUGGACGGGGUGCGUGGAAGCUUGCUAUUCAUGUGCCAGAACCAUGAGUUGGUCGCGAGAUCUUAUGGGUUUCACCUCUAGCCUAUUUCAACGUGUUUGGGACUAAAGACUUUGUCGUCGUCGUUGUUGUUGUUGCUGCAUACUAACUUUGCAUCCCGGCGCCAAUAUAAAUUGUCAUAAAAAUUGUUUAAUUUGCCAUGUUUAAAAUUUGACGUAAGAUUCUUAGUCUUAUCGCCCUUUCAUGUGCAGGUGGAAAUGCAGUGAAAAUAGCAGUGCCGGUGGCAGCAUGUGUGCUGGUGCUCACAUGCAUUUUCUUUGCAUGGUUCUGGAGAUUCAGAGGUAUAGUUAUACUUUUAGCUCUAAACAUGUCAUACUAAAUCAUUCUUAGACAAAAUGCUCACAGCAUCAAUUUUACAGGCAAUUUUACAGACAAGAGGAGGAAAACCGAGAGCCAGAAGAAGCUAAUGACUGGCAGCGCGAACACCCCGAGCGAAGUCGGCGAAGGAGAUCACACUGGUGACCUUGAGUUCCCCUCCUUACGGUUCGCCGACAUCGUCGCUGCCACGGGCAAUUUCUCCAAGACAUUCAUGAUCGGGCGCGGAGGCUUCGGCAAUGUUUACAAGGUAUACUAACUUUUACCUCUCUUUCAGUCCUUCGGCAAGGUUUUCAAGGUAUCCUGUUUUGUGAGUUUAACACAAAAUUCACUUUUUUGUUUUACAAUUCGGAAGGGAACAUUAGACGGUGGACAUGUGGUCGCCGUGAAGAGGCUGAGCAAGGAUUCAGAUCAGGGAGCAGAGGAGUUCAAGAACGAGGCGAUCCUCAUCGCCAAGCUGCAGCACCGGAACCUGGUGCGCCUCCUCGGCUGCUGCACCGAGGGGGCGGAGAAGCUGCUCAUCUACGAGUACCUGCCCAACAAGGGCCUCGACGCCAUCCUCUUCGGUACAUACCAUAUGUUCAUUACAACUGAAAGUACAUAAUCUUUUUUACGAGUGAAAUACACCGUUAGUCCAUUGACUCAAAGAGUUCGUACAGUUUAUUAGGUAAGAACAGGCAAAAACUCAGGAAAUCAUCAAUUUACUCAUUAAUUUAACUAGUUUAAGUAAUCAGAUUAAGGACAAAAACGAUUCACCUUGUUUAAAGAAAUUCGAUUCACCCCCGAAAAACCACACACGUGGCUGCCAUAUCAUUGUACAUGUGUUCUAAAUAAGUUUAAUAACUAAAUUAAUCACUUCGUGAGUUUUUGGCCUAAACGGUACAAUUACAAACAAUUUAACUUAGAGCAUCUCCAACAGGCGCCCAAAAAAGCUUCACGCGUUAAAAGUUUAUUUUUUGGGCGCCGAACAGUUCCAACAGAUGCUGUAAUAUACUGCACGCGUUAAAAAGAUUUGGGCACGCGCUGAAAAACGCUAUCGCGCACAGCAUAUUUAGACGCCGGAUUGUGCGCCCUUUAUAAUUUGCACUGCGUGUUUUUUUUGUGCGUGUUUUUGCGCGUCUGCUAAAGCAAUGUUAGUCCUGACGCAUUAAAAGUGAUACAGCGCUAUAACUUUUAUUAGACGCGAAAUUUUUGUGCGGGUGUUGAAGAUGUUCUUAAUGGACGCAAUUCAUCUCUACUGAUUUUCAUUAUAGAAAACCAAUGGCUUAACUACUAAAAGAAGAAAAGAAAGAAGGACCACCAGACCCAAAUCCUUCACAGAGUGGGAGGGGCAGCAUCCCAAACUAAACCUGGGCAUAUCCCGGGCCAGGCUUUAGAAAACCCAAACUGAAAAUCUCAAGCCCGAGCCCGGUCCGAUCCGGUCAAAAAAACCAAUUUUCAGCCACCGAGCACGGCCCAAAUGGAUUAAAAAGAUGAAUUCCGGGUCGCGCCUGGACGGGUCGGGUCUCCGUGUAAAAUGAUGAUUUUCCAAAGCCCGAGCCCAUCCCAAACUAUUGCCCGAGCCUAGUUUCCAAGCUUGAACCCUUCCCAAACAUAAAGCCCGCUCCGGCCCGGCCCGGGUUUUUCGGGUCGGGUCACCGGGCAAUGAUCGGGCUGCCCAUGCCCAAGUUUAUCCCAAAUCAUGCAUAACUUCUUUUCUUCACCACCUCAACUUUGAAUAGCCCCCUCAACAAUCUUAAUGAAGCUCCGUUACUGCCCACCGGGACCAAAUUUUUGUCAUGCUUGGGGAAGGUUUUAAUCCAUCUAGAGAAACAAUCAUUUAAAUACACAGAAUAAAACAAACAUCAAAUGCACAUUUUAGUAAAUUCCACACCAAUUUAGCAUUAGAGUAGUUGAAAAACAUAUGAGCAAUGGUUUCCCCUGGCCAUUGAAGGCGCAUCCUUUCUCUCUUUUCCAUCUUCUUUUUAACAUGUUAUCUUCGGCCGGUAUACUUUUUCUGUUUACUAAGCAAACGUAAACUUGAUUUUACGAACAAUUUUAAUUUUCCACAAAAAAUUUCGUGGAAAUCCACAUCAGUCAACACCCACUUAAUUUGACCCUUCCGUCCAUACAUUUGGAUCUCCUCACAUCUGGCUUCCAAACUUUCCCAAAGAGUUAGGCUCUCUCUCGAGUCCCCGCAGAGUUCUUCAAAAGGAGAUAUCAUCACACCCCUUCUCAAUAGCAUCAGCUACCGAGAUAUCAUGGUUAAAGCUGACCAAGUAUAAUCUUGGAUAGGCUUCUUCUAGGCCUUGUUCGGUUGCCGUGGUUAGAUUCCACGAGUGAUUUCUAACCUCCUAGGGAUUAGGUGAUCUCCUACUUGUCACCCAAUCACCGCUAUUCCUCAUCCACAUGAAUCCUUCUGACCAAAACAUGUUCAGUUACUCCCUUUUCUAAUCCAUCCAUAUGAAUCAUUGCCCCUGUCAACGUCAGGUCAGAAUCGGUAGAGGAGAACGGGAAGAAGAGGAGAGGACAAGAAGGAGACGAGGCUUACCUGAUAGGAGAGCAAGGAGGGGUGGGGAAGUAUGUCGCCAUCAUCGCCUCCGGAUGGCCGCGCCGUCGCCGCCAAAUCGCGGGAGAGAGAGAGAGAGAGCCCGGGGAGACAUGGCUCGAUUUUUUUUCUUCCGACAUACAGAUUCGCCCAUCGGGAGGGAUUGGUUCCACGAGUAGAGAUGCGAGGAUUUUAUCCCAGACAGUUCCACGUGGUUUGAGAGGGAUUGGGCGGGGGUGUAGCCCCGACCGGGUUUAAUCCAACAAGCUCGUAAGCAGGCUGGGGUCGGAUCCCGGCCGGGCCGAAACCACGGGGUUCGGCGGGGAUUGGACACCAAUCCCGGCGGGGGAGGGGCUAACCGAACAAGGCCUUAGGGGUUUAUCAUCCAUCCAUCAAUCUUCCCAAAACCUAGUAUUUUUUUCAUCACCUAAUUUUUUCUUUACAUUGCUGAUAAAAGCAAUAUUUCAAUUCCAAAAUACUGGACCAGAAGUGAGAGUCACCCACUUCAGGUUUUAUACCAGAUAGACAAUUAUCUUUCACAUAUUUGUUAAUGAGGACUUCCCAGUUCCCACCAUAAUCCAUUUUCAGUUUCCAGUCUCCAAAACCACUUGGCUAGUAGGGAUUUGUUCAUUAAUUCUAGAUUUAUACUUGCUGCAGAUAGUGCGAGGAAAUCGGUGCUGGAUUGGUCGACACGGCUGGGGAUCAUCAAGGGCGUGGCAAGGGGGCUGCUCUACCUGCAUCAGGACUCAAGGCUGACGGUGAUACACAGGGACCUCAAGGCCAGCAACGUGCUGCUGGACGCCGAGAUGAGGCCCAAGAUCGCCGACUUCGGCAUGGCCAAGAUCUUCGGCGACAACCAGGUGAAAGCCAACAGCAAGCGCGUCGUCGGCACAUAGUGAGUAAUUUGAACACUUUACUGAAUUUACAGAGAGAAAAGGAAUUUUUUUGUGUUAAGUUGGUACAUAGCAUUUGACGAAAAUAAAGUGUGACAGCUCUUCUAACAAAAAAUGUGUGUGCCGACAGUGGCUACAUUGCUCCCGAGUACUCGACGGAGGGCGUCUUCUCCGUCAAAUCCGACGUGUACAGCUUCGGCGUGCUGCUGCUGGAGAUCGUUAGCGGCGUUAGGAUAAGCACAACCAGUGGCAUCAUGGAGUUUCCUAGCCUGAUAGUCUAUGUAAGCACCUGCAUUUACAAUUUUCUUCAGUACAGUCCUCUUUCUUGUGAUCGAAUCCGUAUUUGUAAUAGCAAGAAAAGGAACAAUUCAUGGUUGGUUUGAUUGUUUCAUGUAGGCAUGGCACCUGUGGAGGGAAGGGAAGGCAGGCAAGCUGGUGGAUCCGUCCAUGGCAGAGAGCUGUCUACAGGACGAGGCAUUGCUCUGCAUCCACGUCGGGCUCCUCUGCGUGGAGGACGACCCGAGCAGGAGGCCGCUCAUGUCGUCCGUCGUGUCCAUCUUGGAGAACGGAAGCGCGUCGGUGGUGCUGGCAUCGGCGUCUCUUCCGGAGCCGAACAAGCCAGGGUACGUCGGAAUGAUGGAAGAGAAGACCCAGAGAAGCGAUCUCGAGAACAGCAGGAACACCAUUGCCAUGACCGUUCUGCAAGGCCGGUAGCACAGUAGGGACUGCAACUUUCUUCUUCAGAAGGAAAGGUGCACUUAGUUCUAGCGUUUCAUUUUCUUUUCUUUUUUACCGUGGGAAAAAACGGAUUUGUAGAGCAUUUUUUACUGGUACAAAUGAAAUAUGUAUUUACAGGAGCGUUGAGUUGAUUUGAUGUGUCUUGAAAUGGAUGGUAUUGGUAUGAAUGUCUUGCUGGAUUUGAAUACUUUAGCUACUUGGAUGGACUUCCAGAAAAAAUUUCAGAGAGCUUCUGUAUUUGACAUUCAGAGGUUGAGAGAAACAAGUAAUUAAGCGGAAGAAGAAAGAUGCCUUGAUUAAUCUGAAAAAUAACCAGAUAUUACACAAACACCAUCUUUUUAGUGUACACACACCAACUCAUCAUCUCGACUCGCCCUCACAUGCAAAAUCUAUCAGUCCGGAAAGACAUGCAGCACAGCAGCAUCCAUCAGCAAUGAAGUUGUCGGCCAAGCGCGCGCGCGCGCGCUAGAGGUUGAGCUGACUGAGCUCACUUGCCGGGAACGAAGUUGGUGGCGAAAGCCCAGGCGUUGUUGUUGACGGGGUCGGCGAGGUGGUCGGCGAGGUUCUCGAGGGGGCCCUUGCCGGUGACGAUGGCCUGGACGAAGAAGCCGAACAUGGAGAACAUGGCGAGGCGGCCGUUCUUGAUCUCCUUCACCUUGAGCUCGGCGAAGGCCUCGGGGUCCUCGGCGAGGCCCAGGGGGUCGAAGCUGCCGCCGGGGUAGAGCGGGUCGACUAUCUCGCCGAGCGGGCCGCCGGCGACGCGGUAGCCCUCGACGGCGCCCAUGAGCACCACCUGGCAGGCCCAGAUGGCGAGGAUGCUCUGGGCGUGGACGAGGCUGGGGUUGCCGAGGUAGUCGAGGCCGCCCUCGCUGAAGAUCUGGGAGCCGGCCUUGAACCACACGGCCUCGCCGAACUUGACGCCGUUGCGGGCGAGCAGCUCGGGGAAGACGCAGCCGAGCGCGCCGAGCAUGGCCCAGCGGCAGUGGAUGACCUCCAGCUCACGGUUCUUGGCGAAGGUCUCGGGGUCAGCGGACAGCCCCGCGGUGUCCCAGCCGUAGUCGCCGGGGAACUCGCCGGUGAGGUAGCUCGGGGGGUCGCCGGAGAGCGGGCCGAGGUAGAGCACGCGGUCGGAGCCGUACCACGGGCUGCUGGACGCCGCCACCUUGGGCUUGCCCGCCGUCUUGCGCAUGGUGAUGCGGCCCUCGCCGAAGGGCGCCGCCCUGGAGGCCUUCACCGGGGUGCCGGCCAUCGCCGGGGAGGAGAGCGCCAUGGUCGCCGCGGCCGCCAUCGCUCGCUGCGUGCUAGCUAGCUAGCCUUGCUUCGAGUGAGCUGAGGCUGGCAGUGACAGUAGGAGGCGCUGGUGGUCGUUGGUGGUGAGGAGUGAAGCGGGAGCGCGCCGGGUUUAAAUAGGAGGAGGGAGCGAUCGGGUCCUUAUCCCGGGGAAUCUUAUGCCGAGUCGCCAUUGGCGCGCGGGGCGCGAGGCGGGCGGAUGGGGCGGCUGAGGUGGCCGCGCGGUGGCCACGGGAGCGGCGGAGGUCGGGAUUUUUUGCGGGGUUGUGGUGGAUUUGGCGCGGUGGAGAUGAGCCGCGAGGGCGACGGUGGGUCGCGGCCGCAGCCCACAUGGCCGCGUGUGGGGCGGCUCGCCGAUGUGGCCGCGCGCUGGCCAGGGGAUCUCCUGCUCACCGCGCCGGGCGGAAGGGGACGGAGGGCGAUGAGUUUGGCCGUUGCGCGCGGUGCAUUCUGAGGCGUGCCGCUGGCCGGAGGACCCCGGGAAAGAGAUAUCUGCCGUUGGCAGGUUGUGCCGGCGACCUACGUGGCCGACAUCUACUGGUUUCACGACUUCACGAGGUGCCCAAUCGGAACGGGUUCAGGACUAGCUCGGAACUGCCGUUUUAUUUUUCGAUUUGCACAUGCAUCAUGUAAAGAUCCUCUGCAAUGGUUGAAGUUUAAAAACUUUUAUCUUUAAAACCGUUAAUUCAAUCGAUGAUCUCUUUUCAUCGUUGACUUUGUCACGACAAGAUCUUCGAAACUAGAUCUCAUGUUGACAUGUUUCGACAAACUUUUUUUUUCUUCCAUAAUUGCUACAUUUUUCCACUCACUUGCUAUAUUAUUAACCACUUACUUGCUCAAUAAAAAUAACUUAAUUGCCAUAUUUUUUUAUGUCGUUUCGUGCAAAGAUUAUCGAUGCUUAUAAAUGCAGUCCCCAAAAUGUUUUGAUGUGUUUGUCAUUUUUAUUCUACUAAGUUGUCAUGUGGUCUCAUAAAAGCUUGUAGGUGCUUAUAAAAUCACAGUUUCUACAUAUAUUUUUUGUGCUUGUCAUUUUAAUCCUACCUCGUUAUCAUAUUGUCCCAAACAACUUGUGAGUCAUUGUAAAAAAAAUAGUUGUUACGGUGUUUGCUGUAUUUAUCUUUUGAAUUCUAUGCUCAAUUGUUAUGUUUUGUGGUAAUAAAAGGACAUUUGAUUGUUUUAAAACGUAGUUGUGCUAGUGUUGUGUUGUGUCGGUCAGUUAAAUUCUAUUAAAAUGAUAUGCUUUUAUAUCAUGUAUAAUAAAAUAUGUUACAAGGCUUUUGUACGAAAUAAUAUUAAAAAGUGACAAUCAAGUUAUUUUUUUAGGCAAGUAAGUGGUUACUAAUAUGGCAAGUGGGUCAAAAAAUAUGGCAAGUAUGAACAGAAAAAAAAAGUUGACGAAACAUAUCGAUAUGGGAUCUAGUUUUGAAGAACUCGUCGCGAGAAAGCCAAUGAUGAAAACGGAUCAUCGAUUGAAUUAACGGUUUUGGAGAUAAAACUUUUUGAAUUUCAAACAUAAAAAAGAAUCGCGGGUUGUCCUCCCGCCGCACGGCAAAGCAGCGCUGCGCAUGCUAUCAAUUAGAUUUUUCCUUUAUUUUUUAUUUCUUACCGGCAAAACGAUCCGUAUGUUGAAACGGAAAAAAAAUCAUAAUCUUUAAUGAACAUGAACAUAUUUUCCUGCAUCAUCAAGAUAAAAAAAUAUCACUCUCAUUUUCAUGAAAUCGUGGAUAGUUUUUAAAAAUACAGAACAUAUUAAACUCAUGAACAUAUUUGCAAUCGGGAAUAUGUUUCAAAUUCACAGACGUUUUUACAGAUUUUUGAACAUUUUCAAAGAUCAUGAACAUGUUAUACUAUUUUCACACAUUUUUUAAAAUAUAGGAAAAAUAUUAAACAUUUUUCCUGAAUUGGCGAACAUUUUUCUAGAACCGAAGAUCACUUUUUUGGAAAUUUGUCGGCCAAUUUCUGAAAUUCACCAACAUUUUUUUGAUUUUAAAAUUAUUUUUUGAGUUCCAUGAUCAUUUUUUGAAUCAGCGAACAUUUUAUGAAUCAUAAACUAUUGUGUAAUUCACGAUCAGUUUUUGAAUUUUCUCGAUAUUUUUCAAUUUAAGAACAUUUUUUGAAUUGUAUUUUUUUCAAUUGAUUAUUUUGUUAACAUAUGAACGUUGAUAACAAAUCAUGAUUUUUUUUUGGAUUUUCCGAACCUUUGCUACCAAAAUUAUGAAAUUUUUAUGAAUAGGUGUUAUUUAAAAUUGCAAAUAUAUUUUUUAAUCCACAGACGUUUAGAAUUAUUAAACAUUCUAUUACUAAAAAUGUAUUUAAAAAAUUCGGAAUUUGUUUGAAGUCCUGAAUUAUUUAAACUAGAAAGAACAAAGACGGAAAAGGAAAACAAAAUUUAGAAAAUAGGACACCCAGAUAUGGAUCAGCCCAAACAAGUGCGACGUGUUUUCUUCCAGCACACAGAGCACAGUGUAAGAGGUUCCUACUUGAUGGGCCAGCCCAAACGGGGAUUCCCUUUGUGAAAUGUUUGUUAUCACUUGUGGCAACGCUAGGUAAUAUUUUACAACUUUAAAGGUAAUUUAUGUGAUGCACCUUAAGAAGCACUAAUGCCUUUAUUAAUAUAGGUAUAUAUAUAUGCAACAGACUGUUUACACGUGCAAUCAAGUUUUGCAAGUCUUGGGCCUAUAUAUAUAUAUAUAUAUAUAUAUAGGCCCAAGACUUGCAAAACUUGAUUGCACGUGUAAACAGUCUGUUGCAGUUACUUUGGUUGUAGCCUAGAGAUGUGAAAUGUUAUUUCAACCAACCAGAAGAGAGUGCUUGAUACUUGUGAUCUGCAUUGAGUUUUUUAUAAAGAGGAAUGGAUGAUGCAUCACAGUAUAAAUGGUAAAUUGUAAUGCGUGCUCAAGUUCCGCAACACACCCAAUACAAUGACAAAUUGCAUAGGCGAACUAGUUCGGCGAAGAGAUGUGAUACAAGUGUAGUAUGGAUAGUAUAAAUAUAUUUUUAUAAUCCGAAUAAGUAAAAAGAGCGAGGCAACAAGUAGUAAACAACGAGAAAAACGGUAUAUUAAUGUUGGAAUUAUGCCCUAGAGGCAAUAAUAAAUAUAGUUAUUAUUAUAAUUCCUGUAUCAAGAUAAUAGUUUAUUAUCCAUGCUAUAAUUGUAUUGAAUGAAGACUCAUUUACAUGUGUGGAUACAUAGACAAAACACCGUCCCUAGCAUGCCUCUAGUUGGCUAGCCAGUUGAUCGAUGAUAGUCAGUGUCUUCUGAUUAUGAACAAGGUGUUGUUGCUUGAUAACUGGAUCACGUCAUUGGGAGAAUCACGUGAUGGACUAGACCCAAACUAAUAGACGUAGCAUGUUGAUCGUGUCAUUUUGUUGCUACUGUUUUCUGCGUGUCAAGUAUUCAUUCCUAUGACCGUGAGAUCAUAUAACUCACUGACACCGGAGGAAUGCUUUGUGUGUACCAAACGUCGCAACGUAACUGGGUGACUAUAAAGAUGCUCUACAGGUANNNNNNNNNNNNNNNNNNNNNNNNNNNNNNNNNNNNNNNNNNNNNNNNNNNNNNNNNNNNNNNNNNNNNNNNNNNNNNNNNNNNNNNNNNNNNNNNNNNNUCCUCGCCUCUAGCUCGCGCACCCCUCGCCGGAGUCGGCACCAGAGAGCUUCACCCAGGAGCUCCUCCAUCGCCCCCCCCUGCACGCUUUCCCCCUGCCGAGCCCACCUCACCCCGCCACCACCUCCCCACCACUCGGCCCCCUCCUCCACCACCCCUCCACCCCGCUGCUGCUCCUCCCCAUCACCACUACCAGGCAGCCAGGAGCUUCCCCGUCGGCUCCCCCACAUGCAGGCUCCCUCCUCCCCCUUCGGCCCUCCCCCCAGGAGUCUCCACCGGCCCCUUCCCCACCCCUCGCCGGCCCCUACCCCACCCCACCGGAGCUCACCCCGUGCACCCCCUUCCCACCUCGGCCACAAUAGCCAGCCACGGGAGCAGCUCCAGCCACGGUAAGGCUCCACUCCCCCUCCUGUUUCUUUUUUGUUUUUAUGUAGUAGCCCUUAGAUCCAUAAUCUACGGUGUAGAUUAGGAAGUACUUACCCCUUCGGUUUUCUAAAAAGAACCGGUCCAUCAGUUAAGUGAACCGAAGCAUUUUCUUAUUUAGCGGCCAUCCGCUGUUUAGUCUAUGCAGCAAACACCCCUUAGCCAAUCAGGGACUGCCACGUAGUUAGUUAGCUUUUAUUCUGUUUUUUUUUCAGAUUUAGUUCAAAAACAGAAAGUUCCAAUCUUGUUUAGCCCAUAACUUUUGAUCCCGAAGUCCAAUGAUAGUGAUUCUUUUUCCAGUAGCUCACAAAGUUCCUGUAGUUUCUAAAAACAUAUAAUUUGUAUAUGUUUGAAAUUUUCGAAUAUAAGUUAGAUCAGAUUUAGUUUAAACAUUGUUUUGCCUAUUCCAGGAGUUUAAAAAUAUCUUUUAAUCUGAUUCCUUUUGGUACUGAUCACUAGUGAUCCUAUUUAUAAGUGGUAAAAAUUUCCAAUUUGUUUGAGUAUAUUAGCUCACUGUUUCUUGUGAAACAAUUUCUGUUUCAUCUCUUUUAGGAUUUCGGCUAAUUCCUUUUCUACUUUUGUUUUAAAAUAUUUUCUUUAUUAUUUCAGAAACAUUAUUGUUUUGUUUAUGUUAGUUAACAGUAGUUUUGGAACAAGUUUUUAUUUUAUUUUUAUUUGUUUUCAUGAAAUCAAUUCUAGUUCCUUAUUAACUUGCAAUUGGUUUCCGCACUGUUUCAAAUCCCGUUUGGGAAUACUUUCAAAAAGUUUUGUGAAAAAUACUUUAUUUUAUCUUAGUUAAACUUAUAUCUUAGUUCCUUGUUAUUAUUUUCUGUUAGACAAAAACUAGUUAGUGUUUGAUGUAGAAGAAGACUCCUAGUUUAGUAAAGUUUCUUUCGGAUUCUUAUUCGCUCUCUCUUUUGUUUUGAUUGCUAGAAUGAUUGCUAGUAUGAGUGCUUAUGUGAAUGAUAUGUUUGUUAUAUAGAUUCCCUCGGAGAGUGACGAGUAGUCUAUCAAGUUAUUUUCUCGAGAAAUUCUUCUUCGUCAACAUCACCAGGCAAGUCACUUUGAUCAUACUAUCACCUAUGUUUUAUGCAUCGUAGUUCUACCAUCCUAUGCCCAAAUUGCAUGCUGCUUAAGUACUUGGAAAUUUUAGUAUAGGUUGUAGUAUCAUGUGGUAGGCACCCAACAACCCCGAUACUUGGCCCCGGGACGACAAAUUUCAUAUUGCUAUGCUUGAGGAGACGGGAUUUCGGUUGAGUGCAUAACACAAGUGAUGCGAGGUUGAUUAAAUAAUCAAGACCGGUUAAGACAAGAUUUUCAAGAUCUUGGACACAAUGCAACUCUGGGUGAAGGACGGUUGAUCGGCUCCCUGGAGAACCCAGUGGAUGACCCGGGAUGCUGGAGAGGCCAUGACAUCCUGCGGAAAGCUUCACCCAGGCUCAAAGAGACGGACGGAUAUUUUCAAGACCCAAGGCUUACCUGCACAGCCACAAGUCAUUAUGGGCUCUGGCUUGGUUGGACAACGCGGCGACUCUGGACAGGCGGUGCUAGCAGAUGUAGAAGAAUGGUAUGAAUGGAUGGGCACCGACAGGGAUUCAGAGGGACCCGUUGAAAGACCAUGUUUUGAUCAUCCGGUCUUCAAACACCCUGAAGUGYGAGGACAUACACGGAGGCGAUCAAAUCUUGUGGGGAACGUGUGCAAAACUCUACAGAGUACUCAAACCUAAUCGAUUAGCCGUGUCCACGGUCAUGGACAACUUGAGCCAAAGGAACUGAAGUUAUCUGGAUUUCUCAACACCAUUAUAUAUAUUUGAUGAGGGUAAUUAUUGACAACUCGGGUACGAGAACUGGUUGGCGGAACCAUCUCGUUAACAACCAACCUUGUAGUAAUAUUUUUCUUUUAGCCCUCUUGAUGUUGGAGAAAACUUGCUUUUCGCUAAAAAACUUAUAGCCCCAGCUGCCAUAAAUGCAUAUAGUAUAGAUGAUUACUUUUCACCCCUCUCUUAUGKGACUUGCCAGCAUAUUCAAUAUGCUGACCUACACGGCURCAACAUCUUAUGUUGCAGAUAUUUUUCUUCGAUGAGUAAGAGUACGAUUCAGGGUUACGGUCAACCCUCAACUUGCCGUUGGUGUUUAUUGGGACUCCACUCCCUUGACUGCUUCCGCUGAGAUAUUUAAGGUAUACAUCAGUUUUACGCUAUUUACAUGUGAUUGCACUUUGAUAUAUACAUUGAUGUACUCUGUGUGCCAGCAUACUGAUCCACGGAUGGCACAGAAACACAGAGGCUUGACUCGUCUUGAGUCGGGUCGCUACUGAAAUGGUAUCAGAGCACAUAUUGACUGUAGGACGUGACCCUAGAAACUAGAAAUUUCUUAGGAAAGGAUCUCUCAAAAAUUUUAUUUUCAACAACACCUUUUACUUCUCAUCUCUUCUGAUUUCAUCGAAUGUUCCCUCUCACCUCAAAUAGUUAGACAAUACCCUUACCCCUUUGACCUCAUGAAUAAUCAACGGAGUUCUACUUCAAAUUAAAGAGGAUUUCCUCAUGCAAUUGAAGCUACACCAAUUGAAGACUCUCAAGACCCGAAGAACUUGAAGACCCCGAAACGUUCGAAUAUUUAUAUGACCAUUAGAAGUCCAAACCCCUGUUAUAUACCCACGUUAGAUACGAUGAUUUGUGAGCCGUCAUUGGUGUGUGUUUUUCGAUAGCCACAAAUAAAACCCAUUCUCAAAAAUAUUGUUUGUAUUGUGUGUAUCUCCCUCCCUCUCUUACCCGUCUCAUCCCCAAAACCUCAACCCUACCAGAUGGAGUAUGAAGCUGGACUUGUAGUCUCUGGACCAAUGACCCAGCUAGAGGCUGAAAUAUGGACUCAGAACAUGGAGAACCACUUCGGGAGCAACUUGAUCUCAAGGAAGUAUGAAGUGGAACACGCUCUCUAGUACUUUACCCAAAGUGCUGCAAUCUGGUGGAAAAUGCACCAUGCCAUACAAGGAUUUAGUGGAGCAGAAACCUGGGACGAAUUCAAGAACACCCUGUUAAGAUCCCGUCUCAUUCGGAAGUGCUAUGAUAAUCCGAAGGAGAAGACUUGUGCAUGCAAGAUCUAUGGAGAAAUAGGACACACCCAGGAAGAACACAAGGAUCGAUGCACUCAUUGUGAAGAAAAUCACCCAGCUGAGGAGUGCCCAAGUAGUCAGGUGACUUGUUUCCUUUGUGAAGGAACCACCCACUACCCAGCUCAGUGUCACAUUUACCCCAAGGUGCAACAGGUUGUCAAGCAGCAGAAAGAUGCAGUGAAGGAACCCCUCAAGAAGAAGAUUCUAGAAGAACCGAUGAUGAACGAAAAUAUUGAAGACCCUGAUGGACAAGGUCUGACCAGAUUUUUCUCCAAUGCAUGUUACUCAUGUGGAGAAGAAGGACAUUAUUCACAGGAUUGCACGAAGGAAAGCCAAGAGUAGCUGGGAAACUUCCCGACGGAAGAAGUGGAGUUUGAUCCACUUGAAAUAGAAGAACUGGCCAAAAUAAAGGAGUCCAGAAAGAAGAAAAAGUACCCUCGGAAGAACCAAAUCUCUGCAGACAUAGACCUGAGUCAUGUCAGAUGUUACAAGUGUAUGAAAUUUGGCCACCACAAAUACAUGUGCUCAGGAAGGAAGCCGGAAAUCCAAGGAGCAAAAGAAAAAGCUAAGAGGCCUCGAGACUUGUCAGAACUCAUUUGCUUUCGUUGCAAGGAAGCAGGACAUUUUGCUAGCGAUUGUCCACAAAGGAAGAAAGCUAAGAAGGAGUAGUUAAGUUUUGACCGCGGCACUUAGUGUAAUAUGAAUAACUCUUGUUUUUCAUGAGAUCAUGGAGUGAAAUUUUGUAAAGAAGUCCCUGAGAUUGUAAUAACAUCAUGAAUAAAUGGAAUUUAUUGUCUCAUGAUUGCCUAUGUUGAAACUGUAUGCGUUGUUUCUCUGCGAACAAAGAUCUCUGAACAUUUAUGAGGAUAUGAGAAAAUAUGGUCUAUGCAUGCAUGAGUAUUAUUCAUUUUAAGUGUGGUAGUAAUCGGUAAACCCACAGGAUCCACUGAGUAGGAAUGUACCAUGAUUACCAAGGAGACACAUACAUUCCUCUGAGUACCUAUUUACUGACACCUACAGAUGACACCUCUCUACGAGUCAUUCCUCAAGGGCCCAGAAACGAUCAUGACCCUGACCAGUGACCAUGAUUACCCGAAAAUCCUGAAGGACAUGAUGAAGCACAUUCACCUUGAAGGAGAUGCAGUCUACAAAGGCUACCCAUUUAUGGAAAAUUGAGUGGAACUUUGGUACGUGGAAGUACACCUCCACCAUGUGAAAGGAGUUUGUCCAAAGACUAUGGGGAAAUACUUUUUCAUUUCACGUGUACCGCGAGCAACCUUCUUUGAUGCUGUUCGUGAAGCUGCCAUGGAAGCCAUACGUCAGAUUGGAGAAAUACUUGAAGCAAGACUCCGUCAUACCCAGGAAUACCUGAGUGAGGUACGUGCGUAGAUGAUGGAGAUGAAGCUCAUGACCACCAUGAUGAAGCGAAAGAUGGAUGAUUUCAAGGAGUACCUCGGAAAGUUCGAGUGGAAGUACCUCCAAGAGAGACAGAUGAAUAAAGUUGGCAGAAAUGCUUGACCAUACCGAACAAUGUGGAUGGCAGCAUUUGUAAUAAAUUACUUUUGAGUUAGAAUUUUGAAGAAAGCAAGGAUGUAAUAAAGGAUAGAUUAUGUAAUGAAUAUGAUUUAUGGAAGAAGCUAUGAUGGAUCAGCAAACGUUUUCUUAGGAGCAUACGAAAGCCAGAGAGUUGUGGAGAUACGAUAGAUGUUUCGUUCAGCUUGCAGAACCAAUGGUUUAUCCGAACUUCGUUCGUGGACAAGAGAAACUCUGCAACGCUUGUGAGGAUGCCCAAGUGUUAGAAUGCGAGAUUCGCUAAACCUUAUACAGAGAAAUGAUUUGGGUGCGGAAUGGAUCGAUCACCAUGACGACUUACUCUUAUCAUUUAUCUUGCUAUUCAGAAUGGUAAAUCUGAGAGACUUACCCAUAUAGAGAGAUGACGUUCUUUGAAGCUUUUGUUUAAGACUUAGAGUGGUAUAAGAAAAGCCCAUGCACAUGGCACUUGUUGACACGCGUAGGAAAUUUUACGAUGAGAAUGAAACCAAGACCCCACUCUCUGCAAGAUAACCACAAAUGGUAUACCACCAUGAGAACCAUCGAUAUGUUAUUUAGAAUUGACCGCGAGACUGUCAGUUAAGAAGACCCAGUAAAGGAAGAAGCUUAUAUCAACGGAAGAACUCUCGAUUUUGAUGGAAAACGUUAUGAAUGUAACGAAAGAGCUUCACCAGAGGAGUUAGUAUGAAGACUGUGAGGAGUCAGAUGCCAAAACCCCACCGGAUUGUCAAAAAUCUUAUGGGACAAGUAAUCUUCAUUUUAAGUGUAGUAGCAUCCCACUUUGCUGGAAGUUGGAUUUGUUAGAAGACCCCCAAACCCUAACGUUUCUUUCUAGCCUCUUCGAAUCUCGAGGACGAGAUUCAUUUUAAGUGUGGUAGGUUUGUAACAUCCCAAAUUUUGGAAUGUUAAAAUAAUUAUUAGAUUGUUUGUUUGUUUGCUUGAGUGAUUGAAACUUGUGUGAAAUUUGAAACUUUUCAAAAACUUUUGAAUGAUAGGGAAUAAAAUGACUUUCCCCAUCUCUGAUGAAUUCAAAUUCAAUCUUUUAAAAGAAAAGAGAGAAGAUGACAUGACUUCUUCAACUAUAAAGAAUUUGAACGGAGUUUGCAUUUGAAUCCUUUCAAAUUAUUUGCCCUUGCUUCUAUAUUUUUCUUCCCCGAGAAAAUGCCCCGACAAAAUUCUUGCACGCAUGAAAGAGCGGAGGAAAAUGACCCUCCAAAAACCAGGGCCAUUGAUUGAAAUAUUUUGAGCCAAGAAAAAACCAAAAUUUAAUUUGAGAAAAUAAUUGCAAAAAUAAAUAAUGCUUUUAGGGAUUUUUUGGAAAAACAUUUUUUUAAGUUUUCAUUUUGGCCGUUGAAAAAUGCCCAUCAUUUAGAUUUUAUUUUUCUGAUAAUUUUAGUAUAUAGAAACCUUAUAUUCCGAAUUGAUUUGAUUUGCCUUUUAUCGUUUUAGUUUCCUAGUUUUGAAAAAGGAAAGAAAUCGUGUUUAAAUGGAAAUAAACGGUCGCCCAUUAAAACCUUUCCAAAAACUGGCCCAACAGGAUCUUCUUCUUCCUCUAUCUCCUUCCUCACGUGCAUAGGACCUUCCUUAGCCAUGGACAGAGAAAUCCUCACUUCCGGAAUUCGCGAAGUUCUUUCCCUCCUAGCCUCUCCCGUCGCCCCUAUAAGAAGGCCCCGGUCCUCCUCGUUCCAUUCCCGUUGGAAUCGCCGCCUCUCCCCACCUCCUCCCCCCCCCCUGUGGACCUCGGCGGAGUCGGCCACAGGAACUCGCCGGCGACCUUCCCCAUCGCCCCUGCACCCCCUCCCCACCCCACCGACUUUCCCCAUCGCCCCUGCACCUCCUCCACCACCCCACCCCGUCGCCCCCCUGCAUCCCUCCCCAUCCCCACCGAGCUCCCUGCCAGGAGUUCCCCGCCAAGACGCUAGGAGCACCGGAGCAGCCCCUGACGCCCCUCGCCCCUGCUCGACCAGGAGCUCCCAG
RNAcentral lists this long non-coding RNA (43783 nucleotides) under Hordeum vulgare. RNAcentral's name for it is "long non-coding RNA (HVUL_LNC013703)". The record is from RNAcentral. Lineage: Eukaryota; Viridiplantae; Streptophyta; Magnoliopsida; Poales; Poaceae.